Molecule: ribosomal RNA, 485 nt
Filed under: uncultured bacterium
Lineage: Bacteria
Description: bacterial SSU rRNA
Rfam family: Bacterial small subunit ribosomal RNA
Source: RNAcentral
GAUGAACGCUAGCGGCAGGCUUAAUACAUGCAAGUCAAGGGGCCAGCAAUGGCACCGGCGGACGGGUGAGUAACGCGUACACAACGUACCUUUAACUGGGGGAUAGCAUCUGGAAACGGGUGGUAAUACCGCAUGUGGUUGCGGGGAGGCAUCUCCUUGUAACUAAAACUUUGGUGGUUAGAGAUCGGUGUGCGUCUGAUUAGCUAGUUGGUAGGGUAGAGGCCUACCAAGGCGACGAUCAGUAGGGGGCGUGAGAGCGUGAACCCCCACACGGGUACUGAGACACGGACCCGACUCCUACGGGAGGCAGCAGUAAGGAAUAUUGGUCAGUGGAGGGAACUCUGAACCAGCCAUGCCGCGUGAAGGAAGAAGGCGCUACGCGUUGUAAACUUCUUUUGGGUGGGACGAAAAUAAUCCAUUUAUGGAUAGCUGACGGUACCAUCAGAAUAAGCACCGGCUAACUCCGUGCCAGCAGCCGCGGUAAU